AUUGAACGCUGGCGGUAGGCCUAACACAUGCAAGUCGAACGCGAAAGUCCUUCGGGAUGAGUAGAGUGGCGGACGGGUGAGUAACGCGUAGGAAUCUAUCCUGUAGUGGGGGAUAACGUUUCGAAAGGAACGCUAAUACCGCAUACGCCCCAAGGGGGAAAGCGGGGGAGUCUUCGGACCUCGUGCUAUAGGAGGAGCCUGCGUCGGAUUAGCUAGUUGGUGAGGUAAAGGCUCACCAAGGCGACGAUCCGUAGCUGGUCUGAGAGGAUAAUCAGCCACACCGGAACUGAGACACGGUCCGGACUCCUACGGGAGGCAGCAGUGGGGGAAUAUUGCGCAAUGGGGCGAAAGCCUGACGCAGCCAUACCGCGUGUGUGAAGAAGGCCUUCGGGUUGUAAAGGACUCUGUGGGGAGAGACGAAGAAAGCCCGUGAAGAGCGGGCCGUUGACGGUAGUCUCCUUAGCAAGCACCGGCUAACUCCGUGCCAGCAGCCG
RNAcentral lists this ribosomal RNA (494 nucleotides) under uncultured bacterium. Its description in RNAcentral is "bacterial SSU rRNA". It matches the Rfam family "Bacterial small subunit ribosomal RNA", at positions 29 to 517 of the family's 1533-position model. The record is from RNAcentral.